UUAGCCCUAAACUUAGAUAGUUACUCAAACAAAACUAUCCGCCAGAGAACUACUAGCAACAGCUUAAAACUCAAAGGACUUGGCGGUGCUUUAUAUCCCUCUAGAGGAGCCUGUUCUAUAAUCGAUAAACCCCGAUAUACCUCACCACCCCUCGCCAAUUCAGUCUAUAUACCGCCAUCUUCAGCAAACCCUAAUAAAGGAAGAGAAGUAAGCACAAGUAUUUCAACAUAAAAAAGUUAGGUCAAGGUGUAACCUAUGAGGUGGGAAGCAAUGGGCUACAUUUUCUAUACCAGAACACCCACGAAAGUUCUUAUGAAACUAAGAACUAAAGGAGGAUUUAGUAGUAAAUUGAGAAUAGAGUGCUCAAUUGAAUAGGGCCAUGAAGCACGC
This 390-nucleotide ribosomal RNA is filed under the name Genetta servalina. Its description in RNAcentral is "partial 12S ribosomal RNA". It matches the Rfam family "Bacterial small subunit ribosomal RNA", at positions 796 to 1384 of the family's 1533-position model. The record is from RNAcentral. Lineage: Eukaryota; Metazoa; Chordata; Mammalia; Carnivora; Viverridae.